CCUACGGGAGGCAGCAGUAAGGAAUAUUGGACAAUGGUCGCAAGACUGAUCCAGCCAUGCCGCGUGAAGGAUGAAGGCCCUAUGGGUUGUAAACUUCUUUUGUAUGGGAAAAAACCCUUCUACGUGUAGAAGGCUGAUUGUACCAUAAGAAUAAGGAUCGGCUAACUCCGUGCCAGCAGCCGCGGUAAUACGGAGGAUCCAAGCGUUAUCCGGAUUCAUUGGGUUUAAAGGGUGCGUAGGCGGAAUGAUAAGUCAGUGGUGAAAUCCUGCAGCUUAACUGCAGAACUGCCAUUGAUACUGUCAAUCUUGAGUACAUUUGAUGUGGGCGGAAUGUGUCAUGUAGCGGUGAAAUGCUUAGAUAUGACACAGAACACCGAUUGCGAAGGCAGCUCACAAAACUGUAACUGACGCUGAGGCACGAAAGCGUGGGUAUCAAACAGGAUUAGAUACCCUGGUAGUCCACGCUGUAAACUAUGAUUACUCGAUGUUUGCGAUACACUGUAAGCGUCUAAGCGAAAGCGAUAAGUAAUCCACCUGGGGAGUACGCUCGCAAGAGUGAAACUCAAAGGAAUUGACGGCGNGAGAGNGCGACGGACGACGAGAGGGAGGAGG
This 612-nucleotide ribosomal RNA is filed under the name uncultured bacterium. RNAcentral's name for it is "bacterial SSU rRNA". It matches the Rfam family "Bacterial small subunit ribosomal RNA", at positions 338 to 953 of the family's 1533-position model. The record is from RNAcentral.